RNAcentral lists this long non-coding RNA (972 nucleotides) under Helianthus annuus (common sunflower). RNAcentral's name for it is "hypothetical non coding rna". Lineage: Eukaryota; Viridiplantae; Streptophyta; Magnoliopsida; Asterales; Asteraceae. The record is from RNAcentral.
GUGCACACAGAGUAUAUCUCUCUCUCUUUACAGCCUCCAUCUAUAGGCACAGAAUCUGUGAAUCAAUUUUGAAUUUUUCAAAUGGAACAAUGUUAAGAUCUGGGUUUGUUGUUUUCCAAGUUUAAAUCGAUUUUGUGCUCAUAAAGGUAUAAGCUGACCCACGAAUAGUCAAACUGUGUCAUGAAAUUUGUCAAAUAAAGUUAUUUGUAUACUUCUCAUAUGAGCUUAAAUAAUGAAGACUUUCUGUUUGUUUUUCAAAUUAAAUAAAUGCUAACGUUUGUGAUUUAUGCAUUUUAUGCUUCUCAAAAUCAAAUUGGUACCACAACACCACCUCCAUCGUCGGCCACCGCGAAGCCAUCGUUUGCACGGCGACGGCGGCUCUAGUGGCUCCGGUGUUUACAACAACAACCUCCAAUGACGACGAUAACAGCAUGUGGGUUUAGAUCGGCGACGGGGCAGGCUAUUUCCGAUUGUUUAAGUUGACCACAGUCCAUAUCUACUCUUGCAUGUGGUUUUCUUGGCCCGAUCUGUGGCAGCUAGGGUUUCAAGCGAUGAUAGAGCUAUGGUACUAAUCGGGUGAUUAGCACGGAGCCGGCAGGAGCUUGCUUUCUUCCGAUCUUUGUUGGUUCGAAGCAUCCAUGGCAGAAAACGGAAGUAACUCAGUUUGCAAUCAAAGAAGAACGUUGAAAGACACAUCAUUUUCCUUUUUCAUUUGUCCAAAUCUUUUUCAAAAGCAUAUAUCCAGUUUCUAGAAUCAAUUUCUGUUUUUAUUCUAACUAUUCGUGAAGAUUCGAUGGCAGAUUGUGGUGGUUACGUGCACUUGCGCCGAAACCGUCAUCAUCGUUGCCGGUUGUAGUAGAGUGAAAAGUUUGGUGUUUGUUAGUUACAGCGGCAGUGACAAAGAUGUAAUAUGAGAAUAUGUGGGGUGUGGUGUUUGAGGGUAUUAAUGGAGCAAUAAGACUCAAUGUUUUG